RNAcentral lists this ribosomal RNA (1345 nucleotides) under Kamimuria wangi. RNAcentral's name for it is "large subunit ribosomal RNA". The record is from RNAcentral. Lineage: Eukaryota; Metazoa; Arthropoda; Insecta; Plecoptera; Perlidae.
AGAGGAAAUGUCAUGUACUUAGUGAUAGUGGGUUAAUUAAUAAAGAAAGAAGUUAUGAUUUUGAUAUUUGGUUAUUUUUAUGAAAAUAAAUGUUUAUUGAAAUUAGUGGAUUUGGAAUUAUACUCCACCAUAGACAGUAUAAUUAAUAUUAGUUAAGUUGUUGUUUUAUUAACUUUAUGAACCAGGAAAGCAUGAUUUUAUAAAGUAAUUUAAUUCCUAUCUUUGGCUGGACCGAAUGCGGCCAGACUUGAGUCUAGUACAUUCUUUAAUUUCCAGCUUGUCUGGAUUUUUAAGUUCGAGGACGUGGGUUUAAAAUUAGAAUUAGGUUGUAGCUCCAGCGUUAGGAAAAACAGCUAUUCUUGAGAGAUUUUUCUAAUGCGACAAUAGGGAUUCCAUUGAAUCAGAAUAUUAGUCAUAUUGACCUAGUUUUAUAAAAAGGGUUUUUAGUUACAGACGUUAUUUUUCUCAAAUAGAAUAGAAGGACAGUGGGGUUGUUUUAAAAUGAUAUAAAAUUAUGAGUUAAAAAAGUAGGGAUUUAAUUAUAUUUUAUAUCAUUUUAUUUCUAGAUAUCCCAAAGAGCAGGAAAUUAAAGUUGAUUCGGAAAAGUGAAUCUUCAAUUUAAGAUAAAUGUAAAUGUUACUCUGUCAGUUACGGAGCAGGCUGGUAAGUAAGAUCGGAGGUUAAUUUUCUGAUUACUAAUACGAUGGAAACGUGCCAGUUUUAUGGCGCCGGGAAAUUUAAGAGUCACCCGUCCAGUCUGGAAUAUAAUUAUAGUUUUCCUGUACAAAAACAAUUUGUCCGCUCGUAUUUAAACGGAUUAAGGAAUAACAUUGGAAAUAGUUAAAAAUAUAAUUAGUUGUUUGUUAAGAUAUGAUUAAAUUAGUAAUUAUAAUUUAUAAAAAUUAAUGUUUUUAGUGGAAUUAUUUUUUAAAUUUAAAGAUAUUUAUUGUAUGAUGUAUUUAGUUCAAUAUUGUGAAAAAUUUAAUAUCGAUGAAGAUUCGGGUUUAUUAAAUGAUAUUUUUUAUUAAAAUUAAAUAUUGGACCUCGAAUAGGGGGUUUAGUAAUAACGUGAUUGUAUUAAUUUUAGUUCUUAAUAAGGUUAUUGAAUUUAUGUUGACUUAAUUUAAGUAAAGAAUUCCUUGAUCUAUAGAAUUUCUUGCAUAUUGUAAAAUAACGGUUAAGUUGAAAUUAUUAUUAAUAAGAUGUAAUUGAUAGUUUAAAUUUAAUUGAGGGAAGUUUAGCUCUUUUAUAUUAUUAGGAAUGUUUUAAAAACUAAUUGGGACUAUGUUUUCCAUGUUAUUUGGUUUAGAUGAAAUAAUUUUUAUUUAAAAGAACACAACGUUUA